GUUAUAUGGUCAAGUGAAGAAGCGCAUACGGUGGAUGCCUUGGCAGUCAGAGGCGAUGAAAGACGUGGUAGCCUGCGAUAAGCUCUGGGGAGUCGGCAAACAGACUUUGAUCCAGAGAUCUCUGAAUGGGGGAACCCACUCAGCACAAGCUGAGUAUCUUGUACUGAAUACAUAGGUGCAAGAGGCGAACCAGGGGAACUGAAACAUCUAAGUACCCUGAGGAAAAGAAAUCAACCGAGAUUCCCUUAGUAGUGGCGAGCGAACGGGGACCAG
This 273-nucleotide ribosomal RNA is filed under the name Pseudomonas juntendi. RNAcentral's name for it is "partial 23S ribosomal RNA". It matches the Rfam family "Bacterial large subunit ribosomal RNA", at positions 1 to 267 of the family's 2925-position model. The record is from RNAcentral. Lineage: Bacteria; Pseudomonadati; Pseudomonadota; Gammaproteobacteria; Pseudomonadales; Pseudomonadaceae.